GAGGGUAUAGCUCAGUGGUAGGGUGUGUGCCUAGCUAGCAUGCACUAGGUCCUGGGUUCAAUCCCCAGUACCUCCA
This 76-nucleotide transfer RNA is filed under the name Camelus bactrianus (Bactrian camel). It matches the Rfam family "tRNA". Rfam says of the family: Transfer RNA (tRNA) molecules are approximately 80 nucleotides in length. Their secondary structure includes four short double-helical elements and three loops (D, anti-codon, and T loops). Further hydrogen bonds mediate the characteristic L-shaped molecular structure. tRNAs have two regions of fundamental functional importance: the anti-codon, which is responsible for specific mRNA codon recognition, and the 3' end, to which the tRNAs corresponding amino acid is attached (by aminoacyl-tRNA synthetases). tRNAs cope with the degeneracy of the genetic code in two manners: having more than one tRNA (with a specific anti-codon) for a particular amino acid; and 'wobble' base-pairing, i.e. permitting non-standard base-pairing at the 3rd anti-codon position. The record is from Rfam by way of RNAcentral. RNAcentral also lists the same sequence under 2 other names. Lineage: Eukaryota; Metazoa; Chordata; Mammalia; Artiodactyla; Camelidae.